GGGGGAUUAGCUCAGUUGGCUAGAGCACCACGCUGGCAGCGUGGGGGUCAUCGGUUCGAAUCCGAUAUUCUCCA
This 74-nucleotide transfer RNA is filed under the name Bacteroidota bacterium. Its description in RNAcentral is "Bacteroidetes bacterium tRNA-Ala". It matches the Rfam family "tRNA". Rfam says of the family: Transfer RNA (tRNA) molecules are approximately 80 nucleotides in length. Their secondary structure includes four short double-helical elements and three loops (D, anti-codon, and T loops). Lineage: Bacteria; Pseudomonadati; Bacteroidota. RNAcentral also lists the same sequence under 1 other name. The record is from RNAcentral.